RNAcentral lists this transfer RNA (82 nucleotides) under Serendipita sp. 407. RNAcentral describes it as "tRNA-Arg". It matches the Rfam family "tRNA". Rfam says of the family: Transfer RNA (tRNA) molecules are approximately 80 nucleotides in length. Their secondary structure includes four short double-helical elements and three loops (D, anti-codon, and T loops). Further hydrogen bonds mediate the characteristic L-shaped molecular structure. tRNAs have two regions of fundamental functional importance: the anti-codon, which is responsible for specific mRNA codon recognition, and the 3' end, to which the tRNAs corresponding amino acid is attached (by aminoacyl-tRNA synthetases). tRNAs cope with the degeneracy of the genetic code in two manners: having more than one tRNA (with a specific anti-codon) for a particular amino acid; and 'wobble' base-pairing, i.e. permitting non-standard base-pairing at the 3rd anti-codon position. The record is from RNAcentral. RNAcentral also lists the same sequence under 3 other names. Lineage: Eukaryota; Fungi; Basidiomycota; Agaricomycetes; Sebacinales; Serendipitaceae.
GGCCGUGUGGCUCAAUGGCAGAGUGUUUGACUACGAUCCCCAAGUAAUCAAAAGGUUGCAGGUUCGAGUCCUGCCUCGGUCA